GAACAUAAAAAUAAAAUUGUGUGACCACCACGGAAAUUCAUCUUUUUAUGUUAACAUCUUAAAAAUGCUGCAACAUAUGACUACUACGAUAGUUAACAAUCGGUAACAAGAUUCGCUGUUUAACGCUAUGCGCUCUGCUAAAUUAUUGUGUGCAAAUAAAAAUUGGAAAUUAUUCAAAGGUGGCUUUAGGGACAGUGUAACCGUUUAUAUACUCUAUGGUAUAGUAAUUUAAUUGCUUUGGAAGUCAAAAAGGCUAUCGGAUAUCAGAAUCGAGUCUUUCAAGUAUUGUUAAGCAUGUCAUUUUCUGUUAGGAGACAACUUUCCUCAACGACUGUAAUGUAAUAUUUCUUAAAUAAUGGCAUUUCUUCCAAAAACUCAACAAUGAUUCUAAACUUAUUUGCUUGUGAAUAAUAAGCAUGGGAGUUAUAAGUUACGCAAGCAAGAAUUUUAUGUGGGGUUGCACUGAAAAGUUCUAAAAAUCUGUAGAUCACCCUUGAAAUUAGCAUUCCUCUUUUUUUUAAUUUACUGUUGCCUUAAAAUAUGCACUAAAAACGACUAUGGAUUGUGGCUUCACAUUUUCUCAUUUCUUUAUGUUGUUAUUUACAAAACAUUUAAUACCUUAAGAUAUAAGCUAAUUUGAGAGAAAAUUGUAGCUAUAUAUUAUUUACGAAUAAUUGCAAUAUAAAUCGAACAAAUGAAAUGUAAAUAUUCAGAAUAACAGUUUUUUAGAGUAAUUUCUUUUCGUAUUUAAUGGAAGAAAUAUUAUACUUUUACUUAAUUAUCUCAACAUUCAUAAUAAUACGUAUAUUUAUAAGUAUGUGUAUGAGAUAUACGUUAAGUAUUAUGUUAGCUACAUUUUUGCUUAUUUGCAUUUAAUACAGAGUGCUUUACAACAAAUACGACAUAUUGCGAAGCUGCAACGGUUCGCUCCGUAUUUUCUAUUCAUACAUUCACAUAUUUUUAAACUUUAUUUACCAUAUAAAUUUAGUAUACUGUCAGAUAGAUUUCACCAUCUGUCAAUCUGAUGUUUAUUUGUAAUGUGCUGACUGUUAUUGACAAACUACGCUGCUCAAAUUUUUAUAAUUUGAUUGACAAAAUUACUAUUUUGGGAGAAUGACUCUGAAUGCACAAUUGCUUAAAGUAGAACUUCUAAUUAAUUUAUUU
Molecule: long non-coding RNA, 1164 nt
Organism: Drosophila sulfurigaster albostrigata
Lineage: Eukaryota; Metazoa; Arthropoda; Insecta; Diptera; Drosophilidae
Exons: 2
Source: RefSeq, a predicted model, not a curated record